UGCCCAGACUCCUACGGGAGGCAGCAGUGGGGAAUAUUGCACAAUGGGGGAAACCCUGAUGCAGCGACGCCGCGUGAGUGAAGAAGUCUUUCGGUAUGUAAAGCUCUAUCAGCAGGGAAGAAAUAGCGACCUUUGGGUCGCCAGACGGUACCUGACUAAGAAGCCCCGGCUAACUACGUGCCAGCAGCCGCGGUAAUACGUAGGGGGCAAGCGUUAUCCGGAUUUAUUGGGUUUAAAGGGUGCGCAGGCGGAGGUGCAAGUCAGUGGUCAAAUUGCGGGGCUCAACCCCGUACUGCCGUUGAAACUGCAUCCCUUGAGUGCGCGAGAAGUAUGCGGAAUGCGUGGUGUAGCGGUGAAAUGCAUAGAUAUCGCGCAGAACUCCGAUUGCGAAGGCAGCAUGCCGGCUCCACACUGACGCUGAGGCACGAAAGCGUGGGUAUCGAACAGGAUUAGAUACCCGGGUA
RNAcentral lists this ribosomal RNA (464 nucleotides) under uncultured bacterium. RNAcentral's name for it is "bacterial SSU rRNA". It matches the Rfam family "Bacterial small subunit ribosomal RNA", at positions 328 to 792 of the family's 1533-position model. The record is from RNAcentral.